This 468-nucleotide ribosomal RNA is filed under the name uncultured bacterium. Its description in RNAcentral is "partial 16S ribosomal RNA". It matches the Rfam family "Bacterial small subunit ribosomal RNA", at positions 28 to 507 of the family's 1533-position model. The record is from RNAcentral.
GACGAACGCUGGCGGCGUGCUUAACACAUGCAAGUCGAACGGAAAGGCCCUGCUUUUGUGGGGUGCUCGAGUGGCGAACGGGGGAGUAACACGUGAGUAACCUGCCCUUGACUUUGGGAUAACUUCAGGAAACUGCGGCUAAUACCGGAUAGGAGCUCCUGCUGCAUAGUGGGGGUUGGAAAGUUUCGGCGGUUGGGGAUGGACUGGCGGCUUAUGAGCUUGUUGGUGGGGUAGUGGCUUACCAAGGCUUUGACGGGUAGGCGGCCUGAGAGGGUGACCGGGCACCAUGGGCCUGAGAUACGGACCAGAAUCCUACGGGAGGCAGUAGUGGGGAACAUUGCAGAAUAGGCGGAAGCCUGAUGCAGCAACGCCGCGUGCGGGAUGAUGGCCUUCGGGUUGUAAACCGCUUUCGACUGUGACGAAGCGUGCGUGACGGUAAUGGGUCAAGAAGCACCGGCUAACUACGUG